This 152-nucleotide non-coding RNA is filed under the name Streptomyces sp. Lineage: Bacteria; Bacillati; Actinomycetota; Actinomycetes; Kitasatosporales; Streptomycetaceae. The record is from RNAcentral.
AAGAGGGAACCCGGUGGGAAUCCGGGACUGCCCCGCAGCGGUGAGCGGGAACGACCGCCGUCAUACGCACUGGGCCCGCGAGGGCCCGGGAAGCGACGGCCACUAGGUGUCCGCCGGGAAACCGGCAGGCGUGCCCGCGAGUCCGAAGACCU